Molecule: ribosomal RNA, 850 nt
Filed under: Zasmidium sp. ZJUM 28
Lineage: Eukaryota; Fungi; Ascomycota; Dothideomycetes; Mycosphaerellales; Mycosphaerellaceae
Also listed under: 1 other name
Description: eukaryotic LSU rRNA
Rfam family: Eukaryotic large subunit ribosomal RNA
Source: RNAcentral
GGAGGAAAAGAAACCAACAGGGAUUGCCCUAGUAACGGCGAGUGAAGCGGCAACAGCUCAAAUUUGAAACCUGGCGCUUGCGUCCGGAUUGUAAUUUGUAGAGGAUGCUUCUGGGCAGCGGCCGUUCUAAGUUCCUUGGAACAGGACGUCAUAGAGGGUGAGAAUCCCGUAUGUGACCGGCGCGCACCCUCCACGUAGCUCCUUCGACGAGUCGAGUUGUUUGGGAAUGCAGCUCUAAAUGGGAGGUAAAUUUCUUCUAAAGCUAAAUAUUGGCCAGAGACCGAUAGCGCACAAGUAGAGUGAUCGAAAGAUGAAAAGCACUUUGGAAAGAGAGUUAAAAAGCACGUGAAAUUGUUGAAAGGGAAGCGCUUCCAACCAGACUCCGCGGCGGUGUUCCGCCGGUCUUCUGACCGGUCCACUCGCCGCCGUGGGGCCAACAUCGUCUGGGGCCGCCGGAUAAGACCGGAGGAAUGUAGCUCAUUGAGUGUUAUAGCCUCCGGUGAUGCGGCGCGUCCCGGGCGAGGUCCGCGCUUCGGCAAGGAUGUUGGCGUAAUGGUUGGCAGCGGCCCGUCUUGAAACACGGACCAAGGAGUCUAACAUCUAUGCGAGUGUUCGGGUGUCAAACCCCUACGCGCAAUGAAAGUGAACGGAGGUGGGAGCUUCGGCGCACCAUCGACCGAUCCUGAUGUCCUCGGAUGGAUUUGAGUAAGAGCAUAGCUGUUGGGACCCGAAAGAUGGUGAACUAUGCCUGAAUAGGGUGAAGCCAGAGGAAACUCUGGUGGAGGCUCGCAGCGGUUCUGACGUGCAAAUCGAUCGUCAAAUUUGGGUAUAGGGGCGAAAGACUAAUCGA